AUGUUCGCUUUGGCAGCACAUAUACUAAAAUUGGAAUGAUGAUGAGAAGAUUAUCAUGGCCCUUGCACAAGGAUGACAUGCAAAUUACUGUAGCAUUCCAUACUUUU
This 107-nucleotide small nuclear RNA is filed under the name Meriones unguiculatus (Mongolian gerbil). The record is from RNAcentral. Lineage: Eukaryota; Metazoa; Chordata; Mammalia; Rodentia; Muridae.